UGUCUAUUAAUUGUAGACCUGUAUGAAAGGCAAAAUGAGGGUUUAACUGUCUCUUAUAAUAAAUCGAUUAAACUGAUCUACCAGUAAAAAAGCUGGAAUACUCACAUAAGACCAGAAGACCCUGUGAAGCUUUAACUAAACUAUUAAACCCUAUAAUAACUACUUUGGGUUGGGGCGACCUUGGAAAAAAAAAGAACUUCCAAAGAAAAUGAUUAUAACUCAUACCCUAUUAGGCCUACAAGCCACCAAACGACCCAGCACAGCUGAUAAUUGAACCAAGUUACUCCAGGGAUAACAGCGCCAUCUUCUUCAAGAGCCCAUAUCAAAAAGAAGGUUUACGACCUCGAUGUUGGAUCAGGACAUCCUAAUGGUGCA
RNAcentral lists this ribosomal RNA (375 nucleotides) under Uromacer catesbyi. RNAcentral's name for it is "partial 16S ribosomal RNA". It matches the Rfam family "Bacterial large subunit ribosomal RNA", at positions 1970 to 2557 of the family's 2925-position model. The record is from RNAcentral. Lineage: Eukaryota; Metazoa; Chordata; Lepidosauria; Squamata; Dipsadidae.